CAAUGAAAUACAUGAAAAUACAUCGUAAUAUAUUAACAGAAAAUAAGUUGCUCAGCCCCAAAAUCAGGCAUCUUUGUUCUAGAUAAUGUAUUACUGUAUUGCUUGUUCACAGCUUGAUAUAGCUCCAAAGCAGGAAGAGUUUCGGUGAGUUUCGAAUCCAAAACAAGCACAGUACCACCAUAUUGACAACUAUCGUCUCUCAAAAUCUAUCAAUUGAGACCACCAUAGUCCAAUGGUAUUAGCGGAAGUUUUCUGCACACGAGUGUAAGUUCGACUCCAAUUACCACCGAAACAUAGUAAGAUUUACGGUGAUUAUAUGAGAGAAAAGACUAAAAAGGAAAGAGAAAAAUAUUAUUUAG
Molecule: long non-coding RNA, 359 nt
Filed under: Nicotiana benthamiana
Lineage: Eukaryota; Viridiplantae; Streptophyta; Magnoliopsida; Solanales; Solanaceae
Description: long non-coding RNA (NBEN_LNC003203)
Source: RNAcentral